UUUCACAAAACAGAAUACUACCCUAUAAUUUUCGACCUCUUUUCCAGUUGAUACAUCGAAGCUUUUAACCAGUUAACAAUCAAUAAAAAUAAAGAAUUCAACAAGCACUAUAUUUUUCCAAACAUCCAUUUUCAGAUCUGAUUACACCACCUCAUAGCUAAUUAUCUUUGUGUGCAGAUCGGUCACCUAUUUCAAGAUGUUUUUGCUAUUAUGUUUUCGCACUCGGAUGUGGCGGUGGUUUUGUUGGUUGUAUAUGAUUUUGCACUACGGUCAAACAAAGGAAUGAAAAUCAUAUCGCAAGUGGGAUGUGCCAUGUUGUGAUUGGGUGAAGAAAUUAAAUCUCAAAGAUAUUUUUGUUAAUGCUUAAUGGAUUGAGAAAAGGAAGCAUGAAGAAAAAGAUGAGUAAAAGAGAUGCAUGAAGUUGAUAAAGAUGAGUAGCAAAGAGAAGCAGGAAGAAGUGAAGAACAAAGAAUAGGAGACUCAUUAUGAUGUGAAAGGACCAAAAUGCUCUUACCAGAUAUUCACAUGAGGUAUUUAACGGUUAAAAUUAACAGAAGUUAGUGUCAGGGAUUGCUAGCAACGAAAAUGGAAAGCAUAAGGACCGUUUGCAAUGACAAAAAAGCACAGGGCCCGAAAUGCAAAUAUGAACUACCACAGAGACCAUUUGUGACAUUUUCUCUUAAAUUUAUGGAUUGAGCACUUUUAGACUUUCGGUUUAGAGAAUGACUUUAGUUAACUACUUAGUACUUAUGGCAAAUGAAUUCUUUA
Molecule: long non-coding RNA, 768 nt
Organism: Erigeron canadensis
Lineage: Eukaryota; Viridiplantae; Streptophyta; Magnoliopsida; Asterales; Asteraceae
Exons: 2
Source: RefSeq, a predicted model, not a curated record